AAAGUCGUAACAAGGUCUCCGUUGGUGAACCAGCGGAGGGAUCAUUACCGAGUUUUCAACUCCCAAACCCCUGUGGACCAUACCUAUGUUGCUUCGGCGGAUCCGCCCCGGCGCCCUCGUGCCCGGAACCCGCGACCGCCGAAGGCCCAAACUCUUACAUCUUCCUGGAUCAUCUGAGUGACACAAACAAAUAAAUCAAAACUUUCAACAACGGAUCUCUUGGUUCUG
Molecule: unclassified non-coding RNA, 228 nt
Filed under: Ascomycota sp.
Lineage: Eukaryota; Fungi; Ascomycota
Description: partial contains small subunit ribosomal RNA, internal transcribed spacer 1, and 5.8S ribosomal RNA
Rfam family: Eukaryotic small subunit ribosomal RNA (bases 1-47)
Source: RNAcentral